Molecule: long non-coding RNA, 191 nt
Organism: Thalassophryne amazonica
Lineage: Eukaryota; Metazoa; Chordata; Actinopteri; Batrachoidiformes; Batrachoididae
Exons: 3
Source: RefSeq, a predicted model, not a curated record
AGUCCCAAAAAACAGGUGUCUCACUGUAACUCAACUGCACAGCUACACAGAGUCCGAGGGAGGCCGAAAGGGUCGGGAUCCAAGAAAGAUUCUAGUAAUGAAGACCAUUCUCCUAAGAAAAGAGGGAGACCCAAGGGGUCCUUGAACAAAAGCACACUUGAGAAGGCUGCUGCCAGUCAAGAUGAUGUGAG